UGGGGAAUAUUGCACAAUGGGCGCAAGCCUGAUCCAGCCAUGCCGCGUGUGUGAAGAAGGCCUUUUGGUUGUAAAGCACUUUAAGCGAGGAGGAGGCUACUUGGAUUAAUACUCUAAGAUAGUGGACGUUACUCGCAGAAUAAGCACCGGCUAACUCUGUGCCAGCAGCCGCGGUAAUACAGAGGGUGCGAGCGUUAAUCGGAUUUACUGGGCGUAAAGCGUGCGUAGGCGGCUUCUUAAGUCGGAUGUGAAAUCCCUGAGCUUAACUUAGGAAUUGCAUUCGAUACUGGGAAGCUAGAGUAUGGGAGAGGAUGGUAGAAUUCCAGGUGUAGCGGUGAAAUGCGUAGAGAUCUGGAGGAAUACCGAUGGCGAAGGCAGCCAUCUGGCCUAAUACUGACGCUGAGGUACGAAAGCAUGGGGAGCAAACAGG
This 430-nucleotide ribosomal RNA is filed under the name Chloroflexota bacterium. Its description in RNAcentral is "Chloroflexi bacterium partial 16S ribosomal RNA". It matches the Rfam family "Bacterial small subunit ribosomal RNA", at positions 355 to 776 of the family's 1533-position model. Lineage: Bacteria; Bacillati; Chloroflexota. The record is from RNAcentral.